GUGUGUGGUAAACAGGUGUGUUGUGUGUGUUUUUGGAGCAGCAGACUGAUGUCUCGGUGGUGUAUGCCACUCUCCACAUGGUGCCGGAUGGGCUGCUCUCCUCCUCGGUGUGGUCGGAGGCUGCCUCCGUGUCUACGCCCACCAAUCAGCAGUUCACUGAGCCAGAGCCUGAAUGCCACAACUGCUAUGAGGGCUGGGAGGAGGACCUGCUGCCUGAGGAGAGGGAGGUUCCUUUAAAUGUCUGUGUAGUCUGGGCUUGCCAGAUGCUGAAGGAUAGUGGUCACCAUGCUGUUAUCCCCAUUGACCCUAAUGGUUGACAUGCUCCAUUCCCUCCCUCCCACAGCCUCUACCUUACCACCAAGAGAGUGGAGGACAUCGCCUUGAGGCUCGUCUCCCUGCGCCAGGCCUUCACUGUGAGUGGACUUCCUUUUUCCUUUUCUCUCUGUGUCUUCUUGUUCUGUCUGUCUCCAAGAGGAAGAUGGGUGUCUCACUAACUCUUCCCUCUUCUCUAGACCCUGCUUGGUUCCACCCUGAGCAGGAACCAUCUGUUUGUGGCAGGAAAGGUCCUAUUGGGCGCACUGGUUCAAGCCCACCACAUGGUAGCUCACUAACUCAUUAUUCAUUCAAGGGAAAGAGAGCGUCCUCGAUGGGAAAUGUGUUCUGUUCACUAACGUCAAUGCUCUUUGCUUUGUGAUAGGACGAGGCCGAAUUCAUCCGUGCCUAUAACGACUUUGUGGACUACCUGAGUGACCCCUCCAAGCAGAUUGACAUUGAGAGGGAGCUGGCUGAGGCAAAGGUGAGUUCAUUAACUCUUUCAAGUCUCACUUUGAGUUCUUCCACAUGCAUGUCUUUUAUACAUCACAGUAGCUGAUCUAUUUGAAAUCAUUCCUAUUUUCUCCAAAUGUGUUUUCUUGUCCUAGAUCCAUCAUGUUAACCUGAUAGAUGUCCUUUUUGAACUGGUGCUAUUUGGGCUGAUGACAGCUCAGAAGUCCCUGAUGGUGGUAAGUAGCAUCUCACUGGUACAUGUUUCGAUGUCUCUCUAUUUGUAAUUUCACUUAAACUUCUCUCCUCUGUUUCCAUUAGCACCCUGGUGGGUUCAUGGAGCGUCUGUACGCUCUCCUGUACUCCUUCCUGCCCGUAGCUGCCAGCAUUGAGCCAAAGGCCGAGAGAUGCCUGCUGCUGCUCAAUGUAAGAUUCAAGAGUUUACUUCCCUAUUCCUAGUUUACUUCCUCUUUACUUUUUCAUGAAUAACAGGGUUUCAAUGCCAUUUUACAAGGAGUAACUCUCAUUGUCUCUCUGCUCUUGAUAAGCUAGUAACUCAGAGCCAUUAUCAAUGUGUUGUGUGGUGUUCUCUUCAGGGCGGGCUGAUGGCUCUGCUUGAUGACAUGUUUGGGCAGCAGCUGGCCUGGUACUUUAACCCAGUGUCUCUGGUCACUGAGCUCUCCAACCUCCUGGAGUACCACCUGGAGAACCUCAUGGCCAGCAUGUAGUCCUACUGCAGAGAUCUGAAAGGCCACAUUUCUCUCUCUUUCUCUUUCUCUCAGGAAUUGAGGACUUGAAGUGCUUCACUGAACCCUGAUUAGUUAACACCCAUUGAAUUAAUGUAUUCUCUUGUUUUCUCUCCCCACAGGAUUCUUGCGACACUUUGCCACCACACAGGGGUCUAGACACAAAUGCACUACAUUACUUUGCACUGAAUUUUAC
RNAcentral lists this long non-coding RNA (1704 nucleotides) under Oncorhynchus kisutch (coho salmon). RNAcentral's name for it is "lncRNA (ENSOKIG00005011420.1)". Lineage: Eukaryota; Metazoa; Chordata; Actinopteri; Salmoniformes; Salmonidae. The record is from RNAcentral.